Molecule: transfer RNA, 74 nt
Filed under: Mesorhizobium sp.
Lineage: Bacteria; Pseudomonadati; Pseudomonadota; Alphaproteobacteria; Hyphomicrobiales; Phyllobacteriaceae
Description: tRNA-Gln
Source: RNAcentral
CAAUUUGGGGACAGAGGUUAGCCGAUGCCCUCUGAAGGCAGAGGUCACAGGUUCGAAUCCUGUCGGGUGCGCCA